CACACGACCGUACCGCAAACCGACACUGGUGCGCGAGAUGAGUAUUCUAAGGCGCUUGAGAGAACUCAGGAGAAGGAACUCGGCAAAUUGACACCGUAACUUCGGAAGAAGGUGUGCCUUUAGUAGGUGAACCUGUACAAGGGGAGCCCAAUGAGGUUGCAAAAAAUCGGUGGCUGCGACUGUUUAAUAAAAACACAGCACUCUGCAAACACGAAAGUGGACGUAUAGGGUGUGACGCCUGCCCGGUGCUGGAAGAUUAAAUGAUGGGGUGCAAGCUCUUGAUUGAAGUCCCAGUAAACGGCGGCCGUAACAAUAACGGUCCUAAGGUAGCGAAAUUCCUUGUCGGGUAAGUUCCGACCUGCACGAAUGGCGUAACGAUGGCCACACUGUCUCCUCCUGAGACUCAGCGAAGUUGAAAUGUUUGUGAUGAUGCAAUCUCCCCGCGGAAAGACGGAAAGACCCCAUGAACCUUUACUGUAGCUUUGUAUUGGACUUUGAACAGAUCUGUGUAGGAUAGGUGGGAGGCUUUGAAGUGUGGUCGCUAGAUCGCAUGGAGCCAACGUUGAAAUACCACCCUGGUGUGUUUGAGGUUCUAACCUAGGCCCGUAAUCCGGGUCGGGGACAGUGCAUGGUAGGCAGUUUGACUGGGGCGGUCUCCUCCCAAAGCGUAACGGAGGAGUUCGAAGGUACGCUAGGUACGGUCGGACAUCGUGCUAAUAGUGCAAUGGCAUAAGCGUGCUUAACUGCGAGACUGACAAGUCGAGCAGAUGCGAAAGCAGGACAUAGUGAUCCGGUGGUUCUGUAUGGAAGGGCCAUCGCUCAACGGAUAAAAGGUACUCUGGGGAUAACAGGCUGAUACCGCCCAAGAGUUCAUAUCGACGGCGGUGUUUGGCACCUCGAUGUCGGCUCAUCUCAUCCUGGGGCUGUAGCCGGUCCCAAGGGUAUGGCUGUUCGCCAUUUAAAGAGGUACGUGAGCUGGGUUUAAAACGUCGUGAGACAGUUUGGUCCCUAUCUUCCGUGGGCGCUGCAGAUUUGAGGAAGCCUGCUCCUAGUACGAGAGGACCGGAGUGGACACACCUCUGGUGUAUCGGUUGUCACGCCAGUGGCAUUGCCGAGUAGCUAUGUGUGGAAGAGAUAACCGCUGAAAGCAUCUAAGCGGGAAACUCGUUUCAAGAUGAGAUCUGCCGGGGCCUUGAGCCCCCUAAAGAGUCGUUCAAGACCAGGACGUUGAUAGGUCGGGUGUGGAAGCGCAGUAAUGCGUUAAGCUAACCGAUACUAAUUGCUCGUGCGGCUUGACC
This 1298-nucleotide ribosomal RNA is filed under the name metagenome. RNAcentral's name for it is "bacterial LSU rRNA". It matches the Rfam family "Bacterial large subunit ribosomal RNA", at positions 1635 to 2925 of the family's 2925-position model. The record is from RNAcentral.